Molecule: ribosomal RNA, 278 nt
Filed under: uncultured prokaryote
Description: partial 16S ribosomal RNA
Rfam family: Bacterial small subunit ribosomal RNA
Source: RNAcentral
UACGGAGGGCGCGAGCGUUGUCCGGAAUCACUGGGCGUAAAGGGCGCGUAGGCGGCUCGAUAAGGCUCGCGUGAAAGUCCGGGGCUCAACCCCGGAUCGGCGUGGGCGACUGUUGGGCUGGAGCACGGUAGGGGCAGACGGAAUUCCGGGUGUAGCGGUGGAAUGCGUAGAGAUCCGGAAGAACACCGGUGGCGAAGGCGGUCUGCUGGGCCGGAACGGGGGAGAGCAAUCUCUCCCGGUGCUGACGCUGAGGCGCGACAGCGUGGGGAGCAAACAGG